UCAAAAACUUGGAAACUGGAUGCGGGGGAAGGAUCAGGAGCCUGGGCUCAGGCCCCACCCGGGCUGCGACACCUGGGCUGGGGCAGGUCCUCCUAGAAGUCUCAGGACCCAUCAGGAAAGGCUCUCUGCCCUGGUUUCAGUAAACCAGGGUUAACCUCUACACCAACAUGCCAACACUAUAAACGUGAUCCGGCAUUUCAGCAGACAAGUCCCGCAAAGAGGCAAACCAGAACAGAGAUAUGAACCAGAACCGUCUCCAUCGGGGCCUAAACUGGGACCAGGUCUCCUGCUGCCCUGGGUCCUUCAUCCUCUCACGGUGGCUCCUCUGGAGCUGGUUAACCAAGAAGUCAAAUUAUUAAGCCAGAGUGUGUGAGUCAGCUUUGAAACAAGUCUGCGGCUGUGAAGAAAGCAAGCCCCCCGUUCAUGGACAUCAGUCUGGCGGAGCAAUGCAGAGAUCUGCCUGCUGCUGGGCUUGUUCCGAACCAGCUGACAGGGCUGGGCUCUCUGCCUCAGGCCAGCAAUCAGCAGCGACGGGGCCCCCAGCAGCCGCCCCAGGGACAGCCGUGGCCACUAACUCCCUCUUUGAGGAUGUCUCCCAAGCCUUAUCAGGUGACCGGUCACUCCUCUGUUCAAAACCUUAGGACUGUGUCCCACGGACAGAAGGAAAGCUCCAAUUCUGCCGCACCCCCCACCCCAAGGAGCCCUCCAACUCCACCACCUUCCAGGCCAUGGUCCUCCACCCCAAAUGACACCCAGCCUGCCCCUGCCCAUGGGAGCAAGGCUCGGGGGCGACCCUGCCCUGCACCUUUUCAUGAUAGGAACUCCCCCAAGUCAAGAACUACGGGGCUUCAUCACGUCUCAACCCGGUGUCCUACACGUAGAGGCACUCAAAUGUGUUGAGCUCCAAUUCCAGCGAACUAUUAAAGAGUCCACAUCAAGGUUCGCAGUUGCUGGGCUGGGAACUCUCUCCAGGCACCCAGCUGUCCCAAGGGCCCAUGGGACUGGAGAACAUCUUUCAGUCUGCGGCUGUGGCCUAAUGCUUUCCGGCGGCCUGACACUGCCUGUGUGAUCUCAGAAAAAGAUCCUACAUCCACGGCAACUUCCAGAAAUCUUCAUCCACAGGCUCAUCAGCUCGCCCUCCAAGCCCACCUUCACUCCCAGCUGACAAACCAGUGAUCCUAACGAGUAAGUAGCUCCCCGGGACUCCCAGCAUCCAGCCUGAGGAUUCUCGAGGGAACAGAAAUGAGUCUAAUUGCCUGGAUGAGUCUAUUGCUCUCCCUGAUGAGCUUAAGUACCAAGCAGUAAACACAGUCUGGGAAGUUUAAACCUUGGUGAACUGAAUUCUAUUUGCUGAAAGUCAAGCUCUCACCUUUGAAUGAUCGUUUAAUACCACCUCAGAUGGCAGCCCCCACAUCCUGGACUGAAAAAAAUCUCUUGAAAAAAAGGAGAAAGAAUAAUUCUGUUCAGUACAGCACCAAUGUCAAGUUCGUUCUGCCAGACAUGCCUCCUCUGCACCCUGGUUUUUCUAAAGGGUUAGCAGAGUUUCUGUCCAGGACAGAACUUCUCACAUCACAACCCGGCUUUAAAGUACUCCCUGGAACACGACUGCUUCCACAACCGGCCGUCUAUUCUGCCAGAGACACCUCUCGACACCCCUUCCACCCAGUCUCGACACAGCACCCCGACCCUGCUCUCUGGUCUCGUCCCAGCGCCUGUCCAUCCCACCCCCCAGGAAGCCCUGUGCUGUCGUUCCCCAGGGCUUCCACUCACACUCCUCUCAGCCUAGACGUUCGUCUUCCUUUCCCUACGUGCUUCCCCACGUGGCCAGCCAUUCACCUCUGAGGACGCCAUCACUUCCUCUUUUCCCGACCGCUCCCCACUGCCUGUUCUGGUAUCUCUGCCGGCUGUGACCCACUGCUGCGUUUCAGGGCUGGACCACGUCUUACGCAUCCUCGCCUCCCAGGAGCCUACUGCCCGGGGGACGUGUUGAGCAGCAUUCCGAUGCAGGACGCUGAUUCCAACCCCAAGGAAGAGACAGCAUGGGAUGCUUGCUGAUCUUCAACCCAGACUUCUUGCCCUGCUCUUUCACGGGAACUGUCAAACUGCCACCAGCAAAAUAGCAACGGUAAGAAUCAUGGUGGGAGUAAGGGGAAGCUAGGUCGGUUAUAGUCAAGCUGGCAGCACAGGAGGCUGAAAUUCUCUAUUUGUUACUAAAUUUCAAAACAACCCUUCUCCAACAGACCCACCGGAAACAGGAAACAGGCCAUGAAGCCCUCAUCGCAAUUUAAGACUUGCUGGUUCCACAACUUGCUUGAGUGGGCCCCCAUAAAAGGGGUCUCCCGGGCUCCAAGUGCUCUGGGACAGCCACUCCCCACCAGCUGAUUUGUCAACCAGCAGCAUCUCUGCAACCCAUACCUGGAGCUCAGUGGUAAAGAAUCCGCCUGCAAUGCAGGAAGACCCGGGUUCGAUCCCU
Odocoileus virginianus texanus is the source of this 2473-nucleotide non-coding RNA. Lineage: Eukaryota; Metazoa; Chordata; Mammalia; Artiodactyla; Cervidae. The record is from RefSeq and is a predicted model, not a curated record.